Molecule: ribosomal RNA, 389 nt
Filed under: uncultured bacterium
Lineage: Bacteria
Description: bacterial SSU rRNA
Rfam family: Bacterial small subunit ribosomal RNA
Source: RNAcentral
AUUGAACGCUGGCGGAAUGCUUUACACAUGCAAGUCGAACGGCAGCACGGGUGCUUGCACCUGGUGGCGAGUGGCGAACGGGUAAGUAAUGCACCGGAACGUAUCCAAUAAUGGGGGAUAACGCACCGAAAGGUGUGCUAAUACCGCAUACGCCCUGAGGGGGAAAGCGGGGGAUCGUAAGACCUCGCGUUAAUGGAGCGGCCGAUGCCGGAUUAGCUAGUUGGUGAGGUAAAGGCUCACCAAGGCGACGAUCCGUAGCUGGUCUGAGAGGAUGAUCCGCCACACUGGAACUGAGACACGGUCCAGACUCCUACGGGAGGCAGCAGUGGGGAAUUUUGGACAAUGGGCGCAAGCCUGAUCCAGCCAUGCCGCGUGAGUGAAGAAGGCCU